Molecule: transfer RNA, 88 nt
Filed under: Monotropa hypopitys (pinesap)
Lineage: Eukaryota; Viridiplantae; Streptophyta; Magnoliopsida; Ericales; Ericaceae
Description: tRNA-Ser
Rfam family: tRNA
About the family: Transfer RNA (tRNA) molecules are approximately 80 nucleotides in length. Their secondary structure includes four short double-helical elements and three loops (D, anti-codon, and T loops).
Source: RNAcentral
GGAAAGAUGGCUGAGUGGAUUAAAGCAACGGAUUGCUAAUCCGCUGUACUAGUUCUUUGUACCGAGGGUUCGAAUCCCUUUCUUUCCU